Molecule: long non-coding RNA, 759 nt
Organism: Cyprinus carpio carpio
Lineage: Eukaryota; Metazoa; Chordata; Actinopteri; Cypriniformes; Cyprinidae
Source: Ensembl
UUUUCCAUAUUGAUUUUUUUCACCCGUAUUUUUGAAUUAGACAUUGUAUUGUAUUGUGUUUUGUUUUAGAGUUGAAGGAGAUAUCUGUAAAAUUAAUGGAAAAUGUACUGGUGCAGGAGACACGAUUAAAGGCCUUUAUCAUUCUUCUGGCUGGAAAAAGACCUCAAUCUCGCGGUAUCUCCACUUUAAUCAAAUCCCUGCCUUUUCCUUGCCACAAAACUGUCACUGGCAGAAAAUAAGCCCUUCCUCAUCAAAGAGGGUCUUCAAUUGAUUUCCAGGAAAUGGAAAGCUACAUCCUAACCACAGUCAAUAGGGGAGUCGAGGAGAGGGGUGUAAUCAGGCCGAGAUCCGACUCCUCCACCUCGUCCCUGUCAGCUUUAAUAGGCUCUCCAAGAACCCAAUCUGCUCCCUCCAACAUACUCCCACAUCUCCUAAAAACAGGGCCCUCUACCCAUAGGCCCCAGGCCAUGUCCCCCUUAAUGAUAACUGAUCAUUCCGAAUGUCACACCAUGUUCAGGCUCAAACAUGACGAGUCCCCCGUGACAAUUUCUUAGCAUUCCUUAACUUGCCAAGCAUAUACUACAAAAAUUUGGACAUGUUGGUGUUUUAAGCAGAUUUUCAUUAGUGCAUCAUCUUGUUGAAUAUUAGAAACAUUACCAUUAGCAGCAAAUGAUCUGAUGUUAGUUUGCUAAUAUGCUAAUAUUUACUUAACUAUUUUCUCAAGUGAAAAGCCAGAACCACAAUAUCAAGGUCACAAAU